UAUAAGUGAUGGCGACCGGCGCACGGGUGAGUAACACGUAUCCAACCUGCCGAUAACUCGGGGAUAGCCUUUCGAAAGAAAGAUUAAUACCCGAUGGUAUAAUAAAACUGCAUGGUUUAAUUAUUAAAGAAUUUCGGUUAUCGAUGGGGAUGCGUUCCAUUAGGCAGUUGGUGAGGUAACGGCUCACCAAACCUUCGAUGGAUAGGGGUUCUGAGAGGAAGGUCCCCCACAUUGGAACUGAGACACGGUCCAA
Molecule: ribosomal RNA, 253 nt
Filed under: uncultured bacterium
Lineage: Bacteria
Description: partial 16S ribosomal RNA
Rfam family: Bacterial small subunit ribosomal RNA
Source: RNAcentral